Molecule: long non-coding RNA, 2507 nt
Organism: Talpa occidentalis (Iberian mole)
Lineage: Eukaryota; Metazoa; Chordata; Mammalia; Eulipotyphla; Talpidae
Exons: 3
Source: RefSeq, a predicted model, not a curated record
CACUCAGGCAUCAGCUGUCACACGCCGGGAGCCAUCAGGCCUCCCGGCCCCCUCCGGCUGCAGUCUCGGCCACAAGCCGCACACCGCAUCCACCCCCAGGAUGCACUCACUCUUGGGUUGGCGAUUCUGUACUCUUUGGGGGUAAUCGCCCAUCCCUCAGGGUUUUCUAUCUGUGGUCGCUCCAACACUCCAGCAUGCAGGCCCCUGCACUCAGGCCAACCCACUGCACAAGCACAUGGGUCGGGGAUCCGUGGAUGCAAGUCCACAUGCGGCCUCUCUUGGGUCCCCUCUUUGGCUGUGGGCUCCACCACAAGCCACGUUCCCUACCCAUCCCCCAAAGAUGGGCUCCUCAGCUCCUCCCCCUCACUCAACUAUGAGCAGGGCAUCACCCACAGGUGAUUUUAAAAGACUCACUGGCCUUUAGCUUACGUAGUGCUUAACAGCCGCUCAGGGCUUCCCGAACUUAGCACCAGCUUUUGCCUUCUCAGUUGGCUUUUCUCCUCUGCUUAGCUGCUGGGCAGUACACCGGCUGCCUUUGGCCACCAAGGCCCACUGACACCCCCAGACUCCCAUCUCUGGGGGUGGACAAUCCCAUCCUUCCUCAGGGUCCCAAAACAUAUCAAACUUGCCAAGGUCCUCCCCCUUCUGGCGGGAUUGUUAGUCCAUUAGUCCAAGUUCAUCGGCUUUUCCCUUUGUCCACACUGGGGAGCUCUGAGUCGUGGUCCUUUCUCCCCCGACGAUUCUUGCUGCCUAGGCGGGGAUUGUUGGCUGGUCCUCUCGGGCAUCUCCUCCUCCAGGCGAGGUCUCAUCCCGCAGCUCCCGGACUUUGCCCUUCCCCUGUCCCGCCAUGACACGUCCAGCGCUGUCACAGGCAAACACUGUCUGCUGCUCCUCAGUCCCUCCCGGUCUUCGGAGGGCUCCAUACCGGUCUGCAUGGAUCAUCUUGCUGACUUACACCAAUUGUAAGAGAGGAAGGAAUGGACACGGGGCAGGUUUUCUGAUCCAGCAGACUGGGUCCAGGAGAAGAGUGUCCUGGAAGCCUCAGUGGCUUUUGUAGGCUUUUAUUGGGAUUUACUGGAUACAUGGCAGGUAGGGGUGCUAGGGGGUCAGGAGGCUGGCAGGCCUCCCAGCCCCCAGCAAGUCUUCACUCUUUCUGGGCUCUCUGGCGUUCUCUGGUGGUCUCUGCUGCUCUGCUCUCUCGGUUCUGCUUACGUUUCUCUGCUUUUGCUGUGAAUGCCACCCUUAAAAGCCCGGUCUUAGCCCAGGUGAAUCCCAUCUACAUAUGCCCACACCCUACUCCAGGUGCCUGCAUCAGGCUUGCAUUCAGACCACAGGGUUCCCUCAUCUAUCCUAAAGGCGGGAGGGCAGAAAAGCCUGAUAGUUUUAUCUUUCCCUACAGUGUGGUUGUCCGGAGGGCUGGGCGGGCUGGGUGCUGGGCAGGCCGGCACUGCUGAGCCCCUGAGCCCGCUGUCUGGCCGAGGGCCAAUUUAUCGAGCUCAUGCAGGAGAAAGUGGGCUUACAGGACUGGAUAGAGGAGCUGGAGCAUCGAUGUAUCCAGAUGUCUGGAGAGACUGACACCAUCGGUGAGCAGGGAGGCUUGUGCCCUGCAGCUGGGGUGCUAUGCAGAGGCUGGGGAGACCCCAGCAGCUGAGCUGUCUGCGCGCCCUCCCCCUAGGAGAAUACAUCACUCUCUACCAGAACCAGAGAGCAGUGAUGAGGGAGGAGCACCAAGAGAAGGAGGAGUCCAUAAGCCAGCUGGCCCAGGACAAAGAGGAGAUGAAGGUGAAGUUGUUAGCGCUGCAAGAGCUGGUUUUGUGGCUGGUGGAGGUGCACAACGAAUGGCGGGCGAAGCCCUGAGCACCCGCCCAGAACCCUGCUGCUGAGCCCACUAGCGCAUGCCUAGUCCCCAAGAAGCUUGGCACCGCCAACGUCCAAGGGCGGCGUCACGGGGACGCCAGCAGCAGCAGUAGAAGCCGAAGCUGAAGCCGGAAGAGAAGCCGAGAUCACCAGAGAGCCCAGAUAAAGUGAAGAUUUGCUGGGGGCCGGAGGCCUGCCAGCCUCCCAACCCCCCAGCCAGCACCCCUGCCUGCCAUAUGCCUGGUGAACCCCAAUAAAAAACCUGCAAAGCCACUGAGGACUCUGACUCCUCCUUUACCCGGUCUGCAUGGGAUCAGAAAACCUGCGCUGUGCCCUGCUCCUGCCCUUACUCUCUCUAAAGAACCAAGUAAGGUGAGCCUUGUCCACGAUGUGCAGCCGACCCAGGGUGAGGCCCAGCUGGGCCUGACUCCCCUCGAGAACGCCUCUGCGCAGCAGGUCGUUCAGCUGCUUCAAGAAAUGCAGAACUCCGAGGAAGGCGUCACCAUUGGAAACAGCCCAUGCCUUCCCUUCUUCUACCAGGCUGACGACAACGAGGUGAAGAUAAUGGUGGUCUAGGCCACCGGCAUGGGGCCGGAGGCUCUGCCCCCACCUGGCCCUCACCAACCCAUCCCUGUUCCCCAGGCUUUCCC